Molecule: ribosomal RNA, 253 nt
Filed under: uncultured bacterium
Lineage: Bacteria
Description: partial 16S ribosomal RNA
Rfam family: Bacterial small subunit ribosomal RNA
Source: RNAcentral
GACGAACCGUGCUAACGUUGUUCGGAAUCACUGGGCUUGAAGGGCGCGUAGGCCGCCGGCAGGGUCCGGGGUGAAAGCCCCCAGCUCAACUGGGGAAGGGCCUCGGAAACCGGCCGGCUGGAGGGAGGUAGGGGCGUGCGGAACUUCCGGUGGAGCGGUGAAAUGCGUAGAGAUCGGGAGGAAUACCAGUGGCGAAGGCGGCUUCCUGGCCUGUUCUUGACGCUGAGGCGCGAAAGCGUGGGGAGCGAACAGG